RNAcentral lists this ribosomal RNA (200 nucleotides) under uncultured bacterium. RNAcentral's name for it is "partial 16S ribosomal RNA". It matches the Rfam family "Bacterial small subunit ribosomal RNA", at positions 8 to 208 of the family's 1533-position model. The record is from RNAcentral.
AGAGUUUGAUCCUGGCUCAGGACGAACGCUGGCGGCGUGCCUAACACAUGCAAGUCGAGCGGAGAUAUGAGCAAUUGUAUCUUAGCGGCGGACGGGUGAGUAACGCGUGGGCAACCUGCCCUUGACUGGGGGAUAACACAGGGAAACUUGUGCUAAUACCGCAUAAUACCAUUGGGGGACAUCCUUCGAUGGUCAAAGGA